This 971-nucleotide long non-coding RNA is filed under the name Homo sapiens (human). RNAcentral describes it as "HSALNT0229107". Lineage: Eukaryota; Metazoa; Chordata; Mammalia; Primates; Hominidae. The record is from RNAcentral.
CCCGAGCCGCCCAGGAGGCUGUAGCACAGAGAGAUCUCCACCCCUCACCUCCCUCUCCUGGGGGAACAUGGUAAACAUCAGAAGGCUUUGGAAGAUUCACAACUAGACUUUGCUUCCUGUUGCAUUUUGCUCAGGGAAGUGAGGGAAAUGGGAGAAAGAGACAGAGUGAUCAACUGAGGCACUCCAACAAACUCAGCUUUCUGCAACCGGGGCUGGCUCUGCACAGAGCUCUGCCAGGUGCCUCCUGGGGGUGGCUCUACCACGCUUUUUCUAGGAGCAAGUCCUUGAGAAACCUACAAUGAAAAGUGGGAGCUACCUACACAGGGCGAACUCUGACGUCAUCCAGGCAUUCCCAAUGGAUCCGAAGACUCGAUGGAAGAUAGUUUUCUGUCUCCCCUGCCAACACCCACAGAAUUCCUCUAACUGGUCUCCUGGCCUCACUCUGCCUCAUUUCCCUUCAUCCUAGAAAACAAUAGCAGAUCAAUGUUUCUGAGGCAAUGUUUUUUUAGCUCUACCAAUGUCCCCCCGACUCAAAAAACCAUUAUCUCACUACCUAACUAAUAAACUCCAACCUCUUUACCUUGGUACUCAAGAUUCCCCCUACCUUUGGUGUAUCUCGCAGUCCUGCCAAACCAAACAGUGCAUGCUGUCCAAACAUACACACUGCGUCCUUCUCUUCUGUCUCCGUAGUAUCAGAUGAUAGCAUUUGAGCAAAGCUGUCAUUUGCUAGCCAAGUGGCUUUUGGAAAGGUCAUUUUACCUCCCUCAGCCUCAGUUUCUGCAUGUAUAAAUUAUGGAUAAGACUCACCUCAAAUUGUUUUUAUAAAGAAUUAAAUUGAAUUAGCUAGAAUAUGCAAAAAUCCCUGGCUCCCUGCCCGACAUGGGGUGCCUACCAAUAAUUAUUCAAAUCUAAAUAUUGGCCUAUGCCAUGCUCUGCUUCCUUUUCCUAUUAAAACUUUAUUCUUGAAAAAU